Molecule: long non-coding RNA, 563 nt
Organism: Lycium barbarum (goji berry)
Lineage: Eukaryota; Viridiplantae; Streptophyta; Magnoliopsida; Solanales; Solanaceae
Exons: 3
Source: RefSeq, a predicted model, not a curated record
AUUAAAUCAAGGAAGCAUACUAUAUAUUCAUGCUAAUCCUUAGAAUGUUCAAGAAGAACAAAUCAAAACCAAAAAAAUUGAAGAGCUCAAAAGCCCCUCUCGGCCGAACCCUAUAGGAAAAGAAAAAAAAAUUCCAAGCUUUGAUUCUAAUCUAAAAAUCUUGUUCUUCUCGUAUUCGUAGUGUAUGCAAGACGCUCUCCGAUGUGAUACAAUUAGUUCAGCAAGAGAGCGACGUUUGCGGCAAAUCGGAAUUUCAAGAAAGAGAUUCUGAGCGAAACGGGAUUUGAGUUUUGACGAGCGUGGGACGCUUAUAAGGUACAGACACCGGUGAUCCACUACUGUAGGCUCCACUUUCUGCUAUUUCGGAGUGCUCCCUCUUGACCCGGAGCCCACUUUUGGUACAUACAUCUUUUGCUAUGUAUAUACUUCUGUAUAUCGGACUAUUUGGGUACGGCGGGGCCCUGUCCCGUCAUAUGUCUUCGUUUUGUAUUUGUAGAGGCCUGUAGUCAUAUAUGUGGGUCGAGGGUCCUAUAUGUGUCUGUUUUGGCUAUGAUAUGUGUCUU